GGAUACCCGCUGAACUUAAGCAUAUCAAUAAGCGGAGAAAUGGG
This 44-nucleotide ribosomal RNA is filed under the name Pseudocercospora eumusae. Its description in RNAcentral is "partial 28S ribosomal RNA". The record is from RNAcentral. Lineage: Eukaryota; Fungi; Ascomycota; Dothideomycetes; Mycosphaerellales; Mycosphaerellaceae.